Molecule: long non-coding RNA, 928 nt
Filed under: Homo sapiens (human)
Lineage: Eukaryota; Metazoa; Chordata; Mammalia; Primates; Hominidae
Description: novel transcript
Source: RNAcentral
GGAAGAAAAGGUCGGUUAUCCACUUGAAAAAGGCUUCUAGGGUGUAGUUCCGUGGGCGGAACCAGGAAAUAUCUUGUGUGAGGACGUGAAGUAAGAGAGUGAAGUGGCAGGAUAGACAAAACUUUCUUGGGGAAGAAAACACAUGCACAAAUCCUGGUGUAAGGAAUAUUUUAAGCAUAUAUCUUCAAUAUCAUUCAUCCAGGACCGAGCAAGACCAACACUCUUCCUCCUCCUCUGCCUACUCAAUGUGAAGACAAUGAGGAUGAACACCUUUAUGAUGCUCCACUUCCACUUAUUGAAUAGUGCUACACAUGAAACUUGUAACCAGUUACUACAGGCGAAAGCAAAUCCAUGUCUUCAGGCUGGUGUCAUCAGGGAGAGAAGCUUUGGUUUCCACAUAAGGAUAUAAGAUCAUUGAUGUAAAACAAGACAUGUAACCUCUCAAAUUGAGAGAAUGGAUUGGAGAGAUAUUGUUGACCAUGUUUUCCCCUGUAUCUCACCUUCCCCUCUCCAAGACUUCCUUGUCAGUUACCCAUAUUGAUAUCAGUUUAUCCACAUCCAUGCUUUCAAGUUUAAACAAAGAAACUAGGCAAAGGCAGCUAUGUAUUCGCUAGGAUUAGGGAGGAGAAGAUAAUGAACCACUGGAUAGUGAGAAGAAAGAGAGGUGGAGAAAGUGAGAGACCCCAGUAACAGAGGACAGGGACACAUUGCUAAGGAUAGGGACACAUUCACUGUAAUAUAGAAGGCCAUGCUUAUAUGUAAAAUAUGCAGUAAUUGUAUAUAUAUGUACAAAAGUGAUGACACACAUAUGCACAUAAACAAAACACAAUUACUGUCUAUGUUUCUUUAUUUGUGACCUAAUGUUUUAUGUUGUUUGUAACUGAAAAAAAAAUUCCCUUCUGAAUAAAAUGUCAAUUUUGCGAUUGCA